CCACAGUAUAAUUCACUAGAAGAAGUUCCCCUUCAAAAUUUAUUAGUGGAAAUUUAGGACAUUGCUUGAAGUUAUUUUAUAAAAUUCCGGCAUGCUUUCUUUCUUUUUUUUAAAAGAACUUUUUAUUUAUUAUUAUUUAUUUAUUUUUUGUCUUUUGAGGGACGUACCCGCAGCAUAUGGAGGUUCCCAGACUAGGGGUCUAAUCAGACGUGUAAUUGCUGGCCUGUGCCAGAGCCACAACAACUCGGGAUCCGAGCCGCCUCUGCGACCCACACCAUAGCUCAUGGCAACGCUGGAUCCUUAACCCACUGAGCGAGGCCAGGGAUCGAACCUGCAACCUCGAGGUUCCUAGUUGGAUUCGUUAACCACUGCGCCACGCCACGAUGGGAAGUCCAAUUCUGGCAUGCUUUCUAACUCCAUUUCUGGGAAGUUGUGCUAUCUAGUAAACAUAAACCAGCUUGAGGAUUAAUUUACUUAUAGGAGGUGUGGGGGGGAGGUGGCUGUAUUAUUAGGUCCGCCCAGUAGGGCUUUUUGGUUUUCUUUUGUUUUUAAAACCAAGACUCUCUCUUCUUGAAUACUUCUGUGGGAAAUGUGUUGCUUGGCAACCCCCCCCCCACACACACAUCCUCACCCUCUGCAUUGACUGGGGGCCAUUUACUCUCAGAGAAACCACCAGGAGGAAGCUGCCUGUGAGGGAGAUGAGCUGUCAGCAACACUGCACUCAGAGGACUGCCCUUGCAGAGAGCUGCAAGCAGACAAACCAGAACUCCAGAGCCCCUGGUCUCCUGGCUCAUUUGAAUUUGUCCUCUAGUCUGUUACAUAUUUUUUUCACACGUAUAAUCGUUUGUUUGCAGUCUGGAAAUAUAAAACCAGUCAAGAAACAGAGGCCAGAGUAUUGGUCUGGACAAAGCUCCCAGGUGACAAUGAUGGGCCUUGUUGGUGUGCAGUGCUGGUGGAACAGUUUCUUUCUUGGUCUUUACCACUUUAUGAUGCUGCUCUACGGAUCAAAAAUACAAGCUUUAUCACUAUUAAUUGGAAUUUUGCCAUGUUUAUAAAUUUCUGUUGCAUGCUUUAAUAAUGAUGAUAAUACCAAUAACAAUGAUGUAUAUAUAUACACACUCAGCUUACAAUAACCUUUGGUAUGAAGCCCUUUCUGUCUCAGGUAACGCCAACCACUUCUUCAUUUGUUCCCUCAUUAUAGCCUUGCACAUGUUCAUCCCAGCAACACAACAUGUUACUGUAUUUAUUUUUAGAAUUCACCUCCUACUACCAGAUGUUAGCUCCUGGUAAAGGCAACUGUACUGGGGGAUACACUGUAAAUCUCAACAAAUAUUUGUAGAAUGACUCCAUGAAUAAAGAAACAACUUACCCAAAAAUUUAUCCUUUG
RNAcentral lists this long non-coding RNA (1387 nucleotides) under Sus scrofa (pig). RNAcentral describes it as "lncRNA (ENSSSCG00035034581.1)". Lineage: Eukaryota; Metazoa; Chordata; Mammalia; Artiodactyla; Suidae. The record is from RNAcentral.